AUUGAACGCUGGCGGCAGGCCUAACACAUGCAGGUCGAGCGGAUGAAGGGAGCUUGCUCCUGGAUUCAGCGGCGGACGGGUGAGUAAUGCCUAGGAAUCUGCCUGGUAGUGGGGGAUAACGUCCGGAAACGGGCGCUAAUACCGCAUACGUCCUGAGGGAGAAAGUGGGGGAUCUUCGGACCUCACGCUAUCAGAUGAGCCUAGGUCGGAUUAGCUAGUUGGUGGGGUAAAGGCCUACCAAGGCGACGAUCCGUAACUGGUCUGAGAGGAUGAUCUGUCACACUGGAACUGAGACACGGUCCAGACUCCUACGGGAGGCAGCAGUGGGGAAUAUUGGACAAUGGGCGAAAGCCUGAUCCAGCCAUGCCGCGUGUGUGAAGAAGGUCUUCGGAUUGUAAAGCACUUUAAGUUGGGAGGAAGGGCAGUAAGUUAAUACCUUGCUGUUUUGACGUUACCAACAGAAUAAGCACCGGCUAACUUCGUG
RNAcentral lists this ribosomal RNA (484 nucleotides) under uncultured bacterium. RNAcentral describes it as "partial 16S ribosomal RNA". It matches the Rfam family "Bacterial small subunit ribosomal RNA", at positions 30 to 507 of the family's 1533-position model. The record is from RNAcentral.